CCUACGGGAGGCUGCAGUGGGGAAUAUUGGGCAAUGGGCGCAAGCCUGACCCAGCAACGCCGCGUGAAGGAAGAAGGUUUUCGGUUUGUAAACUUCUUUUCUCAGGGACGAAGAAAGUGACGGUACCUGAGGAAUAAGCCACGGCUAACUACGUGCCAGCAGCCGCGGUAAUCCGUAGGUGGCAAGCGUUAUCCGGAUUUAUUGGGUGUAAAGGGCGUGUAGGCGGGAGCGCAAGUCAGAUGUGAAAACUCAGGGCUCAACCCUGAGCAUGCAUUUGAAACUGUGAUUCUUGAGUGCUGGAGAGGCAAGCGGAAUUCCGUGUGUAGCGGUGAAAUGCGUAGAUAUACGGAGGAACACCAGUGGCGAAGGCGGAUUGCUGGACAGUAACUGACGCUGAGGCGCGAAAGCAUGGGGAGCAAACAGGAUUAGAUACCCCAGUAGUC
RNAcentral lists this ribosomal RNA (443 nucleotides) under uncultured bacterium. RNAcentral describes it as "partial 16S ribosomal RNA". It matches the Rfam family "Bacterial small subunit ribosomal RNA", at positions 338 to 795 of the family's 1533-position model. The record is from RNAcentral.